Mycena vulgaris is the source of this 94-nucleotide non-coding RNA. The record is from the annotation of a GenBank genome assembly. NCBI's taxonomy places the organism in Eukaryota, Fungi, Basidiomycota, Agaricomycetes, Agaricales, Mycenaceae.
UCGGGUGUGGUGCACGGCGCACGGCGGCUCCAUCUUAUGCGAGAGAUCCUACCUGAUUGAACCGCAGGCCGGGGUUCGACUCCCCGCACCCGAC